GGCUCAGAUUGAACGCUGGCGGCAGGCCUAACACAUGCAAGUCGAGCGGUAGAGAGGUGCUUGCAUCUCUUGAGAGCGGCGGACGGGUGAGUAAUGCCUAGGAAUCUGCCUGGUGGUGGGGGGAUAACGUUCGGAAACGGACGCUAAUACCGCAUACGUCCUACGGGAGAAAGCGGGGGAUCUUCGGACCUCGCGCCAUUAGAUGAGCCUAGGUCGGAUUAGCUAGUUGGUGAGGUAAUGGCUCACCAAGGCGACGAUCCGUAACUGGUCUGAGAGGAUGAUCAGUCACACUGGAACUGAGACACGGUCCAGACUCCUACGGGAGGCAGCAGUGGGGAAUAUUGGACAAUGGGCGAAAGCCUGAUCCAGCCAUGCCGCGUGUGUGAAGAAGGUCUUCGGAUUGUAAAGCACUUUAAGUUGGGAGGAAGGGUAGUAACCUAAUACGUUGCUACUUUGACGUUACCGACAGAAUAAGCACCGGCUAACUUCGUG
This 492-nucleotide ribosomal RNA is filed under the name uncultured bacterium. RNAcentral describes it as "bacterial SSU rRNA". It matches the Rfam family "Bacterial small subunit ribosomal RNA", at positions 21 to 507 of the family's 1533-position model. The record is from RNAcentral.